UCAAAUCAGGCAGGAUUACCCGCUGAACUUAA
This 32-nucleotide ribosomal RNA is filed under the name Sporobolomyces koalae. RNAcentral's name for it is "partial 26S ribosomal RNA". The record is from RNAcentral. Lineage: Eukaryota; Fungi; Basidiomycota; Microbotryomycetes; Sporidiobolales; Sporidiobolaceae.